Molecule: long non-coding RNA, 430 nt
Organism: Bos taurus (domestic cattle)
Lineage: Eukaryota; Metazoa; Chordata; Mammalia; Artiodactyla; Bovidae
Source: Ensembl
GCCAUAUGGUGUCUUUUCCAAUUACUCAACUCUAUGCAUGAAAGCAGCCAUAGGUGAUAUGUAAACAAUGGUGAUCCCUCUGUUCUUUUGAUGGUGGAGACCAAGUCUACUUUGAAAUGGAGGAAGAGAAAUAGAGGACAUAAAGGAUUCUCCUACCACUCCUUCCGUUUUUGUGUGAGAUGCUGACAGAUAAGGACAGAACAUACUGUUCCCACCCUCCUCAUUUUAUUACACAAAAAUGCAGCCCACAUUGUAUUGAGCUUUGCACAUUGCUUUCUCUGCUUAACUGGACAGCCUGAACACCUCUGUACAUUGGUACAGAAAAGGCGCUCAUUUUGUUUGUUUUUUUUCACAGCUGCAAAGGAUUAAUUUUGUAAAUAUGCCAUGUUUUAUUUGGGUCCCAUCCAAACCCUGUCACAAUAAAUAGUCU